CAAAAUUAACUACCUCCUUCGGUAUGUAAAAUCUUAUUUCUCAGUGCAAUCAACUUCACAUAUAUAAUUCUUCAAGAUUAAAAUUUUUUUCUCCUUUUAUUAUUAGAAGGUUUGGAUACAAAAGGCUUUGCAAUCAUUUGGAAAAUUGCUACCCGUUUUCUUGUUUUCUAAUUUUUGAUGUUGCAAUUUUUCCUAGUAAAGUUGGUUUAAUAGGCAUGAGAAGUGACCCAAAAAGCUUAAAGUGUUUUAUAAGUUUGUGUUAAAGUGGGCUCCGAAUGCUCUAAAAUCUGAAUUUGUAUGCAUAGCCGGGUUGGUAAUUAGUAACAUAGUUAGCAUACCUUUAGGUUUCUGUUCACUCUAUGUCUUCAGACGUUUGUCAUGUUUUGUGUACUGGCUUCCAUGUAACCUCCUAUUUGUUGAUUGUUGGAUAAUUCUCUUUCUUUUGUGCAACAUUUACUGGAGGAGCUUGGUUCCCGGGGUAAGGUGACUUAUCUUUUUGUUGUAAUGGUAAAAAAUUUUGCUUGUCAUACCCAAAUAAUUACAGCAUAGCUUCCAUAUGGCUCUUUCAUUCUUGUCUAAUACUUUUGGUUUAUGCAAGGUAAGUUUCUGUAUCACAAAGAAUGAUGAGUAAAAACAUCAAGAAAAAGUGUUCAGAUUUUAACACAGAAUGAAUGGAUGAAACUAUAUGAAAAAAGGAUUUUUAUUUUUUUCCUCCUUGAUUGGGCUUGUGAACAAGUUCGUACUCCCCAAAAUGUAUAUAGGGGUGGAACUAGAAAUAUAGCUUAACUUGUCCACAAACCUGAUUGAUUUAUUCACUGCCUUUCUUGUAAUGCUUGUUUGUUUGUUAUCUUGUAAUAUCAUCACACAAUAAAGGUUUAGGUUCAAUCUAAUUACAAAUUUAUGUUUAAUCUUGCAAGUCAUCUGUAGAUCAUAAUGUUUAGUUGUUUUGUUAAACUCUUGUUUGGUUUUGACAGGGAGAUCAAUAAGGCAUUUUGUG
RNAcentral lists this unclassified non-coding RNA (997 nucleotides) under Hevea brasiliensis (rubber tree). The record is from RNAcentral. Lineage: Eukaryota; Viridiplantae; Streptophyta; Magnoliopsida; Malpighiales; Euphorbiaceae.